This 45-nucleotide non-coding RNA is filed under the name Schistosoma margrebowiei. The record is from RNAcentral. Lineage: Eukaryota; Metazoa; Platyhelminthes; Trematoda; Strigeidida; Schistosomatidae.
AUUCAACUGACGAGUCCCAAAUAAGACGAAACGCGAGUUUUGAAC